Long non-coding RNA from Sphaerodactylus townsendi, 275 nucleotides. RefSeq lists it as uncharacterized. The record is from RefSeq and is a predicted model, not a curated record. The transcript is spliced from 3 exons. Lineage: Eukaryota; Metazoa; Chordata; Lepidosauria; Squamata; Sphaerodactylidae.
ACUGAGUGUUCAAACAAACUAACAAGAGGAAUAUGAGAACAUGGAGGAAACACAGGCAAAGAUGAAGACCUGUUUGUGCAAAUAGCACGAGAGACUAAAGAAGAGAGGAAACAGCAGUGAUGCCCCGUCCUCUUUCUGGUUGCUGCUGCUAACGUAUUGCCCACUGAGAUUCUCACUGAGAUUCAAGGUUGCUGCUGAUCAAGAGCCCUGAGUUGCAGAGUGGUGAGCUGCAGUCAGUGUCAGGUAGCCUGUUCAAGCCUUCCAGUCUUCCGAGG